This 440-nucleotide ribosomal RNA is filed under the name uncultured bacterium. RNAcentral describes it as "partial 16S ribosomal RNA". It matches the Rfam family "Bacterial small subunit ribosomal RNA", at positions 338 to 795 of the family's 1533-position model. The record is from RNAcentral.
CCUACGGGUGGCAGCAGUGGGGAAUAUUGCACAAUGGGGGAAACCCUGAUGCAGCGACGCCGCGUGAGUGAAGAAGUCUUUCGGGAUGGAAAGCUCUAUCAGCAGGGAAGAAAAUGACGGUACCUGAGUAAGAAGCCCCGGAUAACUCCGGGCAAGCAGCCGCGGUAAUACGUAGGGGGCAAGCGUUAUCCGGAUUUACUGGGUGUAAAGGGAGCGUAGACGGCCGCACAAGUCUGGGGUGAAAUGCCGGGGCUUAACCCCGGACCUGCUUUGGAAACUGUGCAGCUAGAGUGCAGGUGCGGUAAGUGGAAUUCCUGGUGUAGCGGUGAACUGCGUAGAUAUUAGGCGGAACACCAGUGGCGAAGGCGGCUUACUGGACUGUAACUGACGUUGAGGCUCGAAAGCGUGGGGAGCAAACAGGAUUAGAUACCCGUGUAGUC